RNAcentral lists this ribosomal RNA (459 nucleotides) under uncultured bacterium. RNAcentral describes it as "partial 16S ribosomal RNA". It matches the Rfam family "Bacterial small subunit ribosomal RNA", at positions 338 to 795 of the family's 1533-position model. The record is from RNAcentral.
CCUACGGGAGGCAGCAGUGAGGAAUAUUGGUCAAUGGGCGAGAGCCUGAACCAGCCAAGUCGCGUGAGGGAGUACUGCCCUAUGGGUUGUAAACCUCUUUUGUCGGGGAGCAAAAGCCGGACGUGUGGGCGUAUGGAGAGUACCUGAAGAAAAAGCAUCGGCUAACUCCGUGCCAGCAGCCGCGGUAAUACGGAGGCUGCGAGCGUUAUCCGGAUUUAUUGGGUUUAAAGGGUGCGUAGGCGGGACCUUAAGUCAGCGGUAAAAUUGCGGUGCUCAACGCCGUAGAGCCGUUGAAACUGGGGUUCUUGAGUGAGCGAGAAGUAUGCGGAAUGCGUGGUGUAGCGGUGAAAUGCAUAGAUACCACGCAGAACCCCGAUUGCGAAGGCAGCAUACCGGCGCUCAACUGACGCUGAGGCACGAAAGUGCGGGUAUCGAACAGGAUUAGAUACCCCUGUAGUC